UAACCAUAAAGAGAAGGCGAGAGACAAGCUCUAUGACCCUUCAGCAACCUACCACAGGUGAAAGUGUGGCAAGGUGCUAAAGCUUGAUUGAUGGGUA
RNAcentral lists this non-coding RNA (97 nucleotides) under Anaerovibrio sp. Its description in RNAcentral is "SAM-I sequence". It matches the Rfam family "SAM riboswitch aptamer (S box leader)". From Rfam's summary of the family: The SAM riboswitch is found upstream of a number of genes which code for proteins involved in methionine or cysteine biosynthesis in Gram-positive bacteria. The record is from RNAcentral. Lineage: Bacteria; Bacillati; Bacillota; Negativicutes; Selenomonadales; Selenomonadaceae.